RNAcentral lists this long non-coding RNA (1706 nucleotides) under Paramuricea clavata. Lineage: Eukaryota; Metazoa; Cnidaria; Anthozoa; Malacalcyonacea; Plexauridae. The record is from RNAcentral.
GUAUUCUUCUACAAAGACCUCGUGUUAUUCUGAAUCUCAGCAGUACGCUGACGUCACGAUUGACACCGCUGGUCAGAAACAUUGACUACGCUCUUGACUGGGUUCACAUGGAAGCUGGACGAGCCAUAUACAGGUAUACUGUUGUGAAAAUAGCUGUGUUUAUAGCUAUAUUAACUAUCAGUUCUAAACUGUUCUCCAUGGAGGUCCAGUAUAAGGAUCUUCUCUUAGAAGUCAUCUCUUACUGGUAGGAGUCAUCUCUUACUGAUUCAGUGUUACUAGAAAAGAAGAAACUUAAACUGAACUGACUUUUUUAUAUUGGACAGUUCUGUCAAUUCUAAACUGUUUUUUCUAUAGGUCCGGUAUAGGAUCAUCUCUCAUUGAUCCAGUGUUACUACCGGAGGAAACCUACACUAAACUAACUUUAUUUAUACUGGAUAGCUCUAUCAGUUCUAAACUGUUUUCCCUAGAGGUCCAGUAAGGAUCAUCUCUUAUUAAUCCAGUGUUACUACAGGAAGAAACUUGAACUAACUUUAUUUAUACUGGAUAGCUCUAUCAGUUCUAAAUUGUUCUCCCUAGAAGUCCAGUAAGGAUCAUCUCUUAUUAAUACAGUGUUACUACAGGAAGAAACCUAAACUAACUUUAUUUAUACUGGAUGGCUCUAUCAGUUCUAAACUGUUCUUCCUAGAUGUCCAGUAAGGAUCAUCUCUUAUUAAUCCAGUGUUACUACAGGAAGAAACUUAAACUAAACUAACUUUAUUUAUACUGGAUAGCUCUAUCAGUUCUAAACUGUUCUUCCUAGAUGUCCAGUAAGGAUCAUCUCUUAUUAAUCCAGUGUUACUACAGGAAGAAACUUGAACUAACUUUAUUUAUACUGGAUAGCUCUAUCAGUUCUAAAUUGUUCUCCCUAGAAGUCCAGUAAGGAUCAUCUCUUAUUAAUACAGUGUUACUACAGGAAGAAACCUAAACUAACUUUAUUUAUACUGGAUGGCUCUAUCAGUUCUAAACUGUUCUUCCUAGAUGUCCAGUAAGGAUCAUCUCUUAUUAAUCCAGUGUUACUACAGGAAGAAACUUAAACUGAACUAACUUUAUUUAUACUGGAUAGCUCUAUCAGUUCUAAACUGUUCUCCAUGGAGGUCCAGUAAGGAUAAUCUCUUAUUGAUUCAGUGUUACUACAGGAGGAAACCUAAACUAAACUAACUUUAUUUAUACUGGAUAGCUCUAUCAGUUCUAAAUUGUUCUCCCUAGAAGUCCAGUAAGGAUCAUCUCUUAUUAAUACAGUGUUACUACAGGAAGAAAUUUAAACUAAACUAACUUUAUUUAUACUGGAUAGCUCUAUCAGUUCUAAACUGUUCUUCCUAGAGGUCCAGUAAGGAUCAUCUCUUAUUAACCCAGUGUUACUACAGGAAGAAACUUGAACUAACUUUAUUUAUACUGGAUAGACACAUGCAUAAACCAUGCAUUGUAAACCAAAACCCUUCACAGGCCCAAGAACAGGAUACUGUGACGUCUUUGGGAAUAUAAACCUAUAUAAUUACAGAGUCUCUGCAUGCAUGGGAGCACUCUCUCAUAUAUAGUUGUUUUACUGUUUUUCCCAGACAAGGCGACGAGUCAGAUUGUCUAUAUAUUGUUCUCAAUGGUCGUCUGAGAUCUGUUGUCACUCAAAAUAAGAAAAAAGAACUGGUCGGUGAACAUGGCCGAGGGGAAUU